CCCCCUGUGGCUCAGUUGGUAGAGCAUGGUGUGUGCAACGCCAGGGUUGUGGGUUUGAUUCCCACGGGGGGC
Molecule: transfer RNA, 72 nt
Filed under: Salmo salar (Atlantic salmon)
Lineage: Eukaryota; Metazoa; Chordata; Actinopteri; Salmoniformes; Salmonidae
Also listed under: 1 other name
Rfam family: tRNA
About the family: Transfer RNA (tRNA) molecules are approximately 80 nucleotides in length.
Source: Rfam by way of RNAcentral